GUCCACGCCCUAAACGAUGCCGACUAGUUGUUGGGGGAGUUAAAUCCCUUAGUAACGCAGCUAACGCGUGAAGUCGGCCGCCUGGGGGAGUACGGGUCGCAAGAUUAAAAACUCAAAAGGAAUUGACGGGGGCCCGCACAAGCGGUGGAUGAUGUGGUUUAAUUCGACGCAACGCGAAAAACCUUACCUACCCUUGACAUGUGCGGAAUCCUGCAGAGAUGCAGGAGUGCCCGAAAGGGAACCGCAACACAGGUGCUGCAUGGCUGUCGU
RNAcentral lists this ribosomal RNA (270 nucleotides) under uncultured bacterium. RNAcentral describes it as "partial 16S ribosomal RNA". It matches the Rfam family "Bacterial small subunit ribosomal RNA", at positions 793 to 1055 of the family's 1533-position model. The record is from RNAcentral.